RNAcentral lists this ribosomal RNA (304 nucleotides) under uncultured Alphaproteobacteria bacterium. RNAcentral describes it as "bacterial SSU rRNA". It matches the Rfam family "Bacterial small subunit ribosomal RNA", at positions 1091 to 1397 of the family's 1533-position model. The record is from RNAcentral. Lineage: Bacteria; Pseudomonadati; Pseudomonadota; Alphaproteobacteria.
CACGAGCGCACCCUCGCCUUUAGUUGCCAUCAUGUUGGGUGGGCACUCUAGAGGAACUGCCGGUGACAAGCCGGAGGAAGGUGGGGAUGACGUCAAGUCCUCAUGGCCCUUAUGUCCUGGGCUACACACGUGCUACAAUGGCGGUGACAGUGGGAAGCCACGCCGCGAGGCUGAGCUGAUCUCUAAAAGCCGUCUCAGUUCGGAUUGCACUCUGCAACUCGGGUGCAUGAAGGUGGAAUCGCUAGUAAUCGCGGAUCAGCAUGCCGCGGUGAAUACGUUCCCGGGCCUUGUACACACCGCCCGU